Molecule: microRNA precursor, 90 nt
Filed under: Marmota monax (woodchuck)
Lineage: Eukaryota; Metazoa; Chordata; Mammalia; Rodentia; Sciuridae
Source: RNAcentral
GUGUGUGUGUGUGUGUAUGUGUGUGUGUGUGUAUAUAUAUAUGUAUAUAUAUACAUAUAUAUAUACACACACACACACAUACACACACAA